GCUGGGCCGGGCCCGGCCAUGGUCGCUCCCCGCCGGCUCCGCCGCAGCCCCGGCAGCGGCCGGUCCGCGCCCCGCUCAGGUGGGUCCCUCCCGCUCUCGCGCUUCUUCGCCGUCGGCUUUUUUUUUUUCUCCCCCCCUUCUCCUCCUUCUAAUUGUUAUUUUUAAUUAUUUUGGAUUUCUUUUCACGUUUCGCGAUUUCUGGCGCUUACUUCCGAGAACGGCACCCCCCCCCCCCCCUCCUUCCCCGGGCGGCCUUGGGGGGGCGCGGAGCCCCGCUCAGCCCCGCGGUGUUCGGGUGGGGGGAACGGAGCGGAGGGACCCCCCCGACCCCCGGAGCCGCACGGAGCCGCCCCGAGGCGCGGGGAUGGGCGGGGGCGGGAGCAGCGGCGGCGGCGGCGGCGGCGGCGGCAGCGGCACAUCCUUCCCCCGCGCCCCCCUCCUCCCUCCUCCUCCCCCCUCGGCUUCAAAACAAACCGUCACCAAAAUGGUGCAGAGGUGAAGGAGGGAGCGGGAGGAAGGGGAAGAGGUGGCGGCUCGGCCUGGGCGCUGCGGGGACAGUUGGAUUGAGGAGCGGUGGCUGCAGCUCAUCCCUGCCAGGAGCAGAAGAUGCAGGAGGCUGCAUAGCAGGUAUGGGGGAAAUCCCAAACUCUGAGUUCCUGCCUUCCCUUUGGGUUUGCUUGGCCCUGUGUGUGUCCCCUGCUGCAGGCUGGGAGCUGCACAGGGUCCCACAGAGGAUGCAGCUCAAGGGUCUCAGGCUCCCACAGUGGUGCCAACCACUCCAGUGAGGGCUGGUGCAGGAAGGGCACAGGGAACACCCUGCUGCUCUGCACACGGGGAUCCUGAUGUGUGGGAUGGGCAGCAGAGUCCCCAGAGCAGGGCAGGGAGGUGGUGCCCAGCAAUGGGCGCCACUGCUGUUCCCCAGUGCCCAUCUUCCCCUUCACUUCCCCAGCUGGCACAGCUCUGUAGCCACAGCACUGAUUUGGGGUUCUCUGGGUGUUUUGCAACACAGCCCUGUGUAUCAGUGCAAAGGAGGGUUUUUUCUGCCCUGUUUCCUCCCAGUGUGGACAAGACUUGUGGCCAAGCCUGCUGUUAUUUUGUCCCUUGCAUUCCUCUAAAAUAAGGUGCUGCUGGGAGAGGGCCUCAUGUCCAGGGUUUCUUCCUUUUCAACCUUCUUGGCCUGUUUAUUGCUCUUACAGUAAAUGUUUGUGUCUCCUGUGUCUGCAGUGAGGUUGUGGUACAGACACCACUGCGGGCUGCUUUAUGAGGGCUUGAUGGUUUCAUGAAAUGCAUCUUCUGUACCUGAGAGUGAAAUCAAUAAAAGGAAAGAUUUUUAAAAAUAAUACA
RNAcentral lists this long non-coding RNA (1344 nucleotides) under Junco hyemalis (dark-eyed junco). RNAcentral describes it as "lncRNA (ENSJHYG00000000051.1)". Lineage: Eukaryota; Metazoa; Chordata; Aves; Passeriformes; Passerellidae. The record is from RNAcentral.